This 432-nucleotide ribosomal RNA is filed under the name uncultured bacterium. RNAcentral describes it as "partial 16S ribosomal RNA". It matches the Rfam family "Bacterial small subunit ribosomal RNA", at positions 29 to 506 of the family's 1533-position model. The record is from RNAcentral.
AACGAACGCUGGCGGCAUGCCUAACACAUGCAAGUCGAACGAGACCUUCGGGUCUAGUGGCGCACGGGUGCGUAACGCGUGGGAACCUGCCCUUAGGUUCGGAAUAACUCCCCGAAAGGGGUGCUAAUACCGGAUAAUGUCUUCGGACCAAAGAUUUAUCGCCUUUGGAUGGGCCCGCGUUGGAUUAGCUAGUUGGUAGGGUAAAAGCCUACCAAGGCGACGAUCCAUAGCUGGUCUGAGAGGAUGAUCAGCCACACUGGGACUGAGACACGGCCCAGACCCCUCCGGGAGGGAGAAGUGGGGAAAAUUGGAAAAUGGGCGAAAGCCUAAUCCACCAAGCCCGGGGGGGUGAUAAAGGCCUUGGGGUUGAAAAGCUCUUUUACCCGGGAUGAAAAUGACAGUACCGGGAAAAUAAGCCCCGGCUAACCCCGU